CAAGUGACCCCGGUCUAACCACCGGGAUGUUCAUAACCCUUUGUUGUCCGACUCUGUUGCCUCUGGGGCGACCCUGCCUUCGGGCGGGGGCUCCGGGUGGACACUUCAAACUCUUGCGUAACUUUGCAGUCUGAGUAAACUUAAUUAAUAAAUUA
This 155-nucleotide unclassified non-coding RNA is filed under the name soil metagenome. Its description in RNAcentral is "partial internal transcribed spacer 1". The record is from RNAcentral.